Numida meleagris (helmeted guineafowl) is the source of this 1914-nucleotide long non-coding RNA. Ensembl annotates it as zinc finger CCCH domain-containing protein 11A-like. The record is from Ensembl. NCBI's taxonomy places the organism in Eukaryota, Metazoa, Chordata, Aves, Galliformes, Numididae.
GUCAGCUUGUGCUGCAAGAGGAUGGUAUUGCAGUAUGAAUGAAGGUCAGCAUAGGAGCAGCUGCUGAUGGGAGGAAGGAAGUCCAGGCUAAUGAACUCUAAAGCAUCUCCCAGUUAGGUACCAGAGGAGGCAGGAAUGAUGAUGUAGAAGGAUAUGAGAAGCUCCCCAGCUUGAAGCCACAAAACCUGCAGAAACCUGCAGGAGAGCCGGAGCACGUGUCAAUGCCCAGGAGGAAAUCCAGCCUCAGUGUUUGAGCAGCACCUGGCCGUGGAGCACUGCGGCCCAAGAACAGAAUUAUUCUGCCUUUGCCAAGCUGGCAUCCCAAGAAGGACUUGUCUGUCCUUGUAAAAACCAGAGGGCUGGCUCAUCCAAAUGCUUGCUGAUUGCUUGGGAGCUCAAAUCUUUCUGGCCUCCAAGCUGGAGGCAGCCUGGAGGCAACAUCUCCUUGGUCUGAUUGUGCAGUGUCUGAGCGAGAGGGUGACCCAACCUGGCUGCACAAGAGUCAUCUUCAUUUCUGUUAUUUUGCUUCAAACAAGCCCCCUGGGUGACCCUGGUGUUGGUUUCCUAAAAUUUGCAUCUGGGAGGCGUCCAUUUCCUUUGCUUGUGAUGAAAGCACAGAAGUGAUGGGGGCACUCGCCAAGGUCACAAUCAUUGCCAGGGUGGGAGUGUUUGUCCCACAGCUGGUGAGCAAAGCUGGUGCUCUGGAGAGCGUGCUGCACACACAGACCGAGCUCUGGGCCUUCCUUGGAAGAGAUCACCCCGUGAGAGCCCGUCAGAAGCACCGCUGUGGUGUGUACAUGACCUGGACGCAGCUUAGACUGACCAGGCUGAACAGGGUUUCUUUCCAAAAGGAGAUUUUGGGAAUCAAGGCAGUCCAAGAAAGAGGGAAGCCAGCUCUUUCCAAGAGUGGGGAAGUCCCUGUGGAGAGAACCCCAAGAACUUGAGCUUCCUCUGAGACAUUCCCCACCAUGUCUCAGCAAGGAGACAACCGCUAUUCUGACUUCUGCUCUCCAUGUGGGAAGAAGAAGCGCAGUGCGAUUCCCUGCAUUUGGGAACAGCAGCCAGCAGGCUGUCAGAAUGCCAGCUGCGCCUUUCAGCGUGCAAAGGGACGCGAUGGGGAUGGACCAUCUUUACCGCCACGCAAAAGGAUGGAGUCUGCAUGUCUGUGGAACGGUGCUGGGCAAGGGGGAAAACGGAAAGCCUCUGCAGAAACUGAUGCAAGUGGCCUUCCAGAGAGGUGCAGCCUUGCAGAAAGGCAGGGGAGGAGCACGGAGUGUGCCGUAGCUCCAAAGAGAGAGAGAGGUGCUGAACCAAAUGGCAAAAUCUAUGUGAAAACGGUGGAAGAAGUCUGUUCUGGGGGAGCUCGUCUCCAGGUUGGAGGGCUUCCUGGAAGAGCAGGUCCCAGCUCAGGGAGAAGACCUUCCCCUGCAGUCGACAUCUACUCUUUCUCCAAGACUCUGGCUGGAAGGAAGCGCAAGGGCUUGGAAAAAGAGGAACAAAAAGCAGAGCUGUUGCCUGCCAAGAAACAAGUAAAGGGGGGGCGCAGUGGGGAGAAGGCUCAGAGGGUGCAUCAGAGCAGAGGCGGUGUGCCAGCUCCACCAGCGCACCCUGGGCCUGCCCGAACGCCAAGUAAGCAGUUACAGACCUCAAAGCUAAGAGCAAGAAGAAGACGACAACAAAAAGAGAGGAGAGCAGAAAUGAAGAAGGCUUCUCUCAGAGCUGCUGCUGCAUGUGCAGAGUCCUCCACAGUGAACAGCCUUGUGGAGAUGAUGCAGAAGCUGCAGCUGAAAGACUGAGUGGAGGAGCAGCAGAAGGCAGUGGCUGCUGUGCACAGCACUACAGUGCUCUGAGUGCCGCCCAACUCGGCACUCUAAGUCUGGUUGCAUUCAAUAAAUGAUCACAAUUACGGACUCA